This 348-nucleotide unclassified non-coding RNA is filed under the name soil metagenome. RNAcentral describes it as "partial contains 5.8S ribosomal RNA, internal transcribed spacer 2, and large subunit ribosomal RNA". The stretch from base 1 to 120 matches the Rfam family "5.8S ribosomal RNA", at positions 35 to 154 of the family's 154-position model. The record is from RNAcentral.
GAUGAAGAACGCAUCGAAAUGCGAUAAGUAAUGUGAAUUGCAGAAUUCAGUGAAUCAUCGAAUCUUUGAACGCACAUUGCGCCCGCCAGUAUUCUGGCGGGCAUGCCUGUCUGAGCGUCAUUUCAACCCUCAUGCCCCUAGGGCGUGGUGUUGGGGAUCGGCCAAAGCCCGCGAGGGACGGCCGGCCCCUAAAUCUAGUGGCGGACCCGUCGUGGCCUCCUCUGCGAAGUAGUGAUAUUCCGCAUCGGAGAGCGACGAGCCCCUGCCGUUAAACCCCCAACUUUCCAAGGUUGACCUCAGAUCAGGUAGGAAUACCCGCUGAACUUAAGCAUAUCAAUAAGCGGAGGA